Molecule: ribosomal RNA, 465 nt
Filed under: uncultured Klebsiella sp.
Lineage: Bacteria; Pseudomonadati; Pseudomonadota; Gammaproteobacteria; Enterobacterales; Enterobacteriaceae
Description: bacterial SSU rRNA
Rfam family: Bacterial small subunit ribosomal RNA
Source: RNAcentral
CCUACGGGUGGCUGCAGUGGGGAAUAUUGCACAAUGGGCGCAAGCCUGAUGCAGCCAUGCCGCGUGUGUGAAGAAGGCCUUCGGGUUGUAAAGCACUUUCAGCGGGGAGGAAGGCGUUAAGGUUAAUAACCUUGGCGAUUGACGUUACCCGCAGAAGAAGCGCCGGCUAACUCCGUGCCAGCAGCCGCGGUAAUACGGAGGGUGCAAGCGUUAAUCGGAAUUACUGGGCGUAAAGCGCACGCAGGCGGUCUGUCAAGUCGGAUGUGAAAUCCCCGGGCUCAACCUGGGAACUGCAUUCGAAACUGGCAGGCUAGAGUCUUGUAGAGGGGGGUAGAAUUCCAGGUGUAGCGGUGAAAUGCGUAGAGAUCUGGAGGAAUACCGGUGGCGAAGGCGGCCCCCUGGACAAAGACUGACGCUCAGGUGCGAAAGCGUGGGGAGCAAACAGGAUUAGAUACCCGAGUAGUC